AAACCACGUUCACGACCCUGCUCUGUUCCGAUUGUGCCGCCUGACAUGCCCUCGGAUUGCAUUGGCGGCUGCCUGCCGACGCGAGCGGCGCGGCGGAUGGGAGCGACCGCGUGCGAGGCGCGUAGUGGAGCAGCGCAGAAUGGAGAGGAGCGGCCGGUGUGCGUUGGUUGAUUGGAUCCACCGAGCUGUGCGGGAGAGAUGGGAUGGGAUGCGUCCGCCGUCCCCAGAUCGAUCCAUCAUUGUCCCUCCUGAAAAAAUUUGCUCAACGCGAGGGGGGAAGGGGAUCCGCCGCCGCAGGCUAUUCUGAUCGACGCCAUGGCUGCUCGUUCAAGCAAAAGUGCUCCGGUGAAGUUGUGCCGCCACUGGCACUGCCACUAGAACCACUACCGCUCGAGGUCGAUGGAUCUCUGAGGCAACCCCAUGGCCCGAUCCAAACGGGGCGGCUGGACUGCCUGCGCGGCGGUGGACGACGUUGCCCAGACCAACAACAUCGUCCAGCGCCUCAACGACUUCUCCUCCAUUGCGCACAUCCCUAGGAUGGGCCUCAAGGUCGUGCCGAUGAUCGCGGCCUUCUCCAACCUCCACACAGUCAACCUCUCUGGUGCCGAUGAUGAAAUAAUUUCUGCCAUCGCUGCAUUACUACAUCCUCCGAUUGCUCAUAUAUCAUUCUGUGAAUUGCCCUGCUCGUUCUCUCGAAGGUUCUAUAUCCCAGAGUGUAUGUAUCAGUCGGAACUGAGAAUUUGCUCCUGGAUAGGUACAAUUGUUUUCCAGUACCUACAUCUUAUAUCUAUGCACCAUUGAGGAUCUGAAAUCAGUUGUCCAGUUUGUCCCUCAAAGAAUGUAGUCAGUCCUAUUCCUAUGGUGUAUAAGGACAUUUGUUUCGUAUACAUGAUUUCCCAGCAGCAAUUUAUACACAAGCUAACUCCAAAGAGACGACUGAUCAGGCUAAUCGCAAAGCUAUUCAGGGAGUAAAGGGGUAGUACUAGAAGAGGAAAAAACGUAUACAGUGUCAGCCUAUAAGAACAUUAGUUGUCCUGUUUACUUUCGUCAAUGAACAACAAAGAUUUCACUGCCAGAAAAAAAAGAUAUGGAUUAGUAUCCCUCUGGACAAAUAAGAAAAUGCUACCGCUUCAAGGAUUUCAGUCAUCCUUGCGGCUUUAGGAACUAUAUAACAACAGCGUCCAUAUGUAUUUUUAUACAAUUUUUUCUUCUGUAGUUAAGAUUUUCUUGUGCAAAGUAUCUAAUAUCAAUCAUGUACAUCUUUUUGGCCAUGCUUAUACCUUGAAAUAAUAGAGCCAUUUUAUUGAAAAUUCACUCAUGAUUUUACUCUUUUUUCUGAAUAAGUUUAACUGUGUUAGUCGUACAAUUCGCCGGGAGCAAGACCAAAUUCAACAAGGCAAUAAAACAAAGCGUGGAGCACCUAAAGAACAUCCAAUAUUCCCAGAGCAUACGAGGAGAUCGCUGUCGAAGGGUCUGCACUCACUGGAUAUGUCGUGGAAUAAGAUCACAAAUGUCGAGGGGCUCUGGGAACUGAUGAACCUACGCGUGCUCAACCUCAUCUACAACUGGAUUUCAUGCACCGGACUGGGUACAUACUUGGAGAUAACAUGAUGGUAAGAAGGCAAGAAGUAGGUACAUGUAUGAGUGGGUUUCUGGAGUCUCAAGGGGCACAUAUGAAGUAUCCACACGAAAGCAUGUUGGGUACCUGAGGGCUUGUAUCAGUGCCCAGCAUGACGGCGAACUAUUCUCUGAAAAAAUUGCUAAUGAAUCUCUGUUCAAUGGGGCUACAUUCCUUCUAAACUUCUGUGGCGUUAUCAACACGAUCUUAAAGUGCAGGGUGUGUGCGCACAUAUAACACUUAGCAGAUUAUUGUGAAUCUUAAGGAAGGAGCACAUCUCAAUGCUGUCUGUAAGCAUUUUGUGCUCUUAUCAUGGUGUUGAUAGUUGUCAGGAAAACAAAGAUCUUAAGUCAAGUAAGGUAGUAGUAUGUAUGCGUCUUCAGUCACUAUUGUUGCGGCAUGUUUGAAGGUAAAAGUAGCAGCCUGAUGCCAUGUAUAGUAAGGUUAAGAUACUUAUUUUGAGAUGGAGGGAGUACAACACUUCAAAAUGAAGGGUUUUCCAGCUGUUCUUUUGUCACUUAACCAGGAGUAGCUGGAGAUGCAAAUCAAGCAAAUUGCAUAUUGUAAGGUUUGCUCCUUCAAGUAGCUACACAUAUAUUGUCUUAGUUAAGUAAAUUCUCAAAUGAGUGUUUGCUGAAAUUCUCAUGUAGAUUUAAAUAUUGGCUUUGAAUCAUGUUUCAAAAACCAGGAUAUAUGCAGCCUUGAAAGAGAUCAUGAGAACCUGCAAGGGCAUUAUUCAACGUUCUAAAUAUUGCAUAUCAUAUAGUUGCGUGAGGCCCUUGAAUCUUGAGUUCCUUUUGCUCAAAGUUGGGGAAUUUGUGAGGCCAUUUUGGAUGCUAUGUGUUUGUGGUGUAUAUUUUGUAUAGUGAUUGGUCUUACUACUCAAGCAGACAUAUUUAGUCUCCUAUGUCUAUUGUUUAUUGUUCUUUUAUGAACAAGUAUAUUGAUCAGUGCUAUGUUCUCUUAAAUGAGAAAGAGUUCAAUUCAUUAAUGUUCUUAAAAGACAAAAACUUGUUUAGUAUUUAAUUUUUCAUAUAU
Triticum aestivum (bread wheat) is the source of this 2656-nucleotide RNA transcript. RefSeq lists it as uncharacterized. The record is from RefSeq and is a predicted model, not a curated record. NCBI's taxonomy places the organism in Eukaryota, Viridiplantae, Streptophyta, Magnoliopsida, Poales, Poaceae. The transcript is spliced from 6 exons.